GAUCCUGGCUCAGGAUGAACGCUAGCUACAGGCUUAACACAUGCAAGUCGAGGGGCAGCAUGGUCUUAGCUUGCUAAGGCUGAUGGCGACCGGCGCACGGGUGAGUAACACGUAUCCAACCUGCCGUCUACUCUUGGCCAGCCUUCUGAAAGGAAGAUUAAUCCAGGAUGGCAUCAUGAGUUCACAUGUCCGCAUGAUUAAAGGUAUUUUCCGGUAGACGAGUGGGGA
Molecule: ribosomal RNA, 228 nt
Filed under: uncultured bacterium
Lineage: Bacteria
Description: partial 16S ribosomal RNA
Rfam family: Bacterial small subunit ribosomal RNA
Source: RNAcentral